Molecule: ribosomal RNA, 891 nt
Filed under: uncultured bacterium
Lineage: Bacteria
Description: bacterial SSU rRNA
Rfam family: Bacterial small subunit ribosomal RNA
Source: RNAcentral
CGAGUGGCGCACGGGUGCGUAACGCGUAUGCAACCUACCUUUAACUGGGAAAUAGCCCCGAGAAAUCGGGAUUAAUGUCCCAUACUAUUCUUUGAAUGCAUAUUCUGAGAAUGAAAGCUCCGGCGGUUAUUGAUGGGCAUGCGUGACAUUAGCUAGUUGGUGAGGUAACGGCUCACCAAGGCGACGAUGUCUAGGGGUCCUGAGAGGGUUAACCCCCACACUGGUACUGAGACACGGACCAGACUCCUACGGGAGGCAGCAGUAAGGAAUAUUGGGCAAUGGACGCAAGUCUGACCCAGCCAUGCCGCGUGAAGGAUGAAUGUCCUAUGGAUUGUAAACUUCUUUUAUGCAGGAAAAAUAUCCCGGUCGUGAACCGGGACUGAUGGUACUGUAUGAAUAAGCAUCGGCUAACUCCGUGCCAGCAGCCGCGGUAAUACGGAGGAUGCAAGCGUUAUCCGGAUUCAUUGGGUUUAAAGGGUGCGCAGGCGGAAUGAUAAGUCAGUGGUGAAAUCUCCCGGCUCAACCGGGAAACUGCCAUUGAUACUGUCGUUCUUGAGUACAGUUGAAGUGGGCGGAAUGUGCCAUGUAGCGGUGAAAUGCUUAGAUAUGACACAGAACACCGAUAGCGAAGGCAGCUCACUAAGCUGUAACUGACGCUCAUGCACGAAAGCGUGGGGAUCAAACAGGAUUAGAUACCCUGGUAGUCCACGCUGUAACGAUGAUCACUCGUUGUUGGCGAUAUACUGUCAGCGACUGAGCGAAAGCAUUAAGUGAUCCACCUGGGGAGUACGGCGGCAACGUUGAAACUCAAAGGAAUUGACGGGGGCCCGCACAAGCGGAGGAGCAUGUGGUUUAAUUCGAUGAUACGCGAGGAACCUUACCUGGGCUUAA